Molecule: ribosomal RNA, 2884 nt
Filed under: Pseudomonas aeruginosa PA14
Lineage: Bacteria; Pseudomonadati; Pseudomonadota; Gammaproteobacteria; Pseudomonadales; Pseudomonadaceae
Description: 23S ribosomal RNA
Rfam family: Bacterial large subunit ribosomal RNA
Source: RNAcentral
GGUCAAGUGAAGAAGCGCAUACGGUGGAUGCCUUGGCAGUCAGAGGCGAUGAAAGACGUGGUAGCCUGCGAAAAGCUUCGGGGAGUCGGCAAACAGACUUUGAUCCGGAGAUCUCUGAAUGGGGGAACCCACCUAGGAUAACCUAGGUAUCUUGUACUGAAUCCAUAGGUGCAAGAGGCGAACCAGGGGAACUGAAACAUCUAAGUACCCUGAGGAAAAGAAAUCAACCGAGAUUCCCUUAGUAGUGGCGAGCGAACGGGGAUUAGCCCUUAAGCUUCAUUGAUUUUAGCGGAACGCUCUGGAAAGUGCGGCCAUAGUGGGUGAUAGCCCCGUACGCGAAAGGAUCUUUGAAGUGAAAUCGAGUAGGACGGAGCACGAGAAACUUUGUCUGAACAUGGGGGGACCAUCCUCCAAGGCUAAAUACUACUGACUGACCGAUAGUGAACCAGUACCGUGAGGGAAAGGCGAAAAGAACCCCGGAGAGGGGAGUGAAAUAGAACCUGAAACCGUAUGCGUACAAGCAGUGGGAGCCUACUUGUUAGGUGACUGCGUACCUUUUGUAUAAUGGGUCAGCGACUUAUAUUCAGUGGCAAGCUUAACCGUAUAGGGUAGGCGUAGCGAAAGCGAGUCUUAAUAGGGCGUUUAGUCGCUGGGUAUAGACCCGAAACCGGGCGAUCUAUCCAUGAGCAGGUUGAAGGUUAGGUAACACUGACUGGAGGACCGAACCCACUCCCGUUGAAAAGGUAGGGGAUGACUUGUGGAUCGGAGUGAAAGGCUAAUCAAGCUCGGAGAUAGCUGGUUCUCCUCGAAAGCUAUUUAGGUAGCGCCUCAUGUAUCACUCUGGGGGGUAGAGCACUGUUUCGGCUAGGGGGUCAUCCCGACUUACCAAACCGAUGCAAACUCCGAAUACCCAGAAGUGCCGAGCAUGGGAGACACACGGCGGGUGCUAACGUCCGUCGUGAAAAGGGAAACAACCCAGACCGCCAGCUAAGGUCCCAAAGUUGUGGUUAAGUGGUAAACGAUGUGGGAAGGCUUAGACAGCUAGGAGGUUGGCUUAGAAGCAGCCACCCUUUAAAGAAAGCGUAAUAGCUCACUAGUCGAGUCGGCCUGCGCGGAAGAUGUAACGGGGCUCAAACCACACACCGAAGCUGCGGGUGUCACGUAAGUGACGCGGUAGAGGAGCGUUCUGUAAGCCUGUGAAGGUGAGUUGAGAAGCUUGCUGGAGGUAUCAGAAGUGCGAAUGCUGACAUGAGUAACGACAAUGGGUGUGAAAAACACCCACGCCGAAAGACCAAGGGUUCCUGCGCAACGUUAAUCGACGCAGGGUUAGUCGGUUCCUAAGGCGAGGCUGAAAAGCGUAGUCGAUGGGAAACAGGUUAAUAUUCCUGUACUUCUGGUUACUGCGAUGGAGGGACGGAGAAGGCUAGGCCAGCUUGGCGUUGGUUGUCCAAGUUUAAGGUGGUAGGCUGAAAUCUUAGGUAAAUCCGGGGUUUCAAGGCCGAGAGCUGAUGACGAGUCGUCUUUUAGAUGACGAAGUGGUUGAUGCCAUGCUUCCAAGAAAAGCUUCUAAGCUUCAGGUAACCAGGAACCGUACCCCAAACCGACACAGGUGGUCGGGUAGAGAAUACCAAGGCGCUUGAGAGAACUCGGGUGAAGGAACUAGGCAAAAUGGCACCGUAACUUCGGGAGAAGGUGCGCCGGCUAGGGUGAAGGAUUUACUCCGUAAGCUCUGGCUGGUCGAAGAUACCAGGCCGCUGCGACUGUUUAUUAAAAACACAGCACUCUGCAAACACGAAAGUGGACGUAUAGGGUGUGACGCCUGCCCGGUGCCGGAAGGUUAAUUGAUGGGGUUAGCGCAAGCGAAGCUCUUGAUCGAAGCCCCGGUAAACGGCGGCCGUAACUAUAACGGUCCUAAGGUAGCGAAAUUCCUUGUCGGGUAAGUUCCGACCUGCACGAAUGGCGUAACGAUGGCGGCGCUGUCUCCACCCGAGACUCAGUGAAAUUGAAAUCGCUGUGAAGAUGCAGUGUAUCCGCGGCUAGACGGAAAGACCCCGUGAACCUUUACUGUAGCUUUGCACUGGACUUUGAGCCUGCUUGUGUAGGAUAGGUGGGAGGCUUUGAAGCGUGGACGCCAGUUCGCGUGGAGCCAUCCUUGAAAUACCACCCUGGCAUGCUUGAGGUUCUAACUCUGGUCCGUGAUCCGGAUCGAGGACAGUGUAUGNNNNNNNNNNNNNNNNNNNNNNNNNNNNNGUAACGGAGGAGUACGAAGGUGCGCUCAGACCGGUCGGAAAUCGGUCGCAGAGUAUAAAGGCAAAAGCGCGCUUGACUGCGAGACAGACACGUCGAGCAGGUACGAAAGUAGGUCUUAGUGAUCCGGUGGUUCUGUAUGGAAGGGCCAUCGCUCAACGGAUAAAAGGUACUCCGGGGAUAACAGGCUGAUACCGCCCAAGAGUUCAUAUCGACGGCGGUGUUUGGCACCUCGAUGUCGGCUCAUCACAUCCUGGGGCUGAAGCCGGUCCCAAGGGUAUGGCUGUUCGCCAUUUAAAGUGGUACGCGAGCUGGGUUUAGAACGUCGUGAGACAGUUCGGUCCCUAUCUGCCGUGGACGUUUGAGAUUUGAGAGGGGCUGCUCCUAGUACGAGAGGACCGGAGUGGACGAACCUCUGGUGUUCCGGUUGUCACGCCAGUGGCAUUGCCGGGUAGCUAUGUUCGGAAAAGAUAACCGCUGAAAGCAUCUAAGCGGGAAACUUGCCUCAAGAUGAGAUCUCACUGGGAACUUGAUUCCCCUGAAGGGCCGUCGAAGACUACGACGUUGAUAGGCUGGGUGUGUAAGCGUUGUGAGGCGUUGAGCUAACCAGUACUAAUUGCCCGUGAGGCUUGACCAU